RNAcentral lists this long non-coding RNA (7462 nucleotides) under Sus scrofa (pig). RNAcentral's name for it is "lncRNA (ENSSSCG00040053670.1)". The record is from RNAcentral. Lineage: Eukaryota; Metazoa; Chordata; Mammalia; Artiodactyla; Suidae.
AAUAGGAUUGAUUUUUAUCAGGAAGAACUUAAAUAGGUGUAAAGACCAAGUAGAAAGUAUUUUUAAUAUCUAGAUUAUUUUACAUGUAUCUUGGGGAAGAUGGCAGGAAAUUCUUCAAUAUGUAGAUUACAGCUUUUGAUGUCUACUUAUUUUUAUGUCUCUUUUUUCAUUUUUUUAAAGUUUUAUUAAAGUAUAGUUGAUUUACAAUGUUGUAAUAAUUUCUUCUGUACAACAAAGUGAUUUAGUUAUACAUGUACACAUAUCCAUUCUUUUACAGAUUCCUUUCCCAUAGAGGUUAUCACAGAAUAUUGGGUAGAGUUCCCUGUACCUUACAGCAGGUCCCUGUUUACCAUCCAUUCCAUAGAUAAUAGUGUACAUAUGCUGAUCCCAAACCCCCAGUCCAUCCCCCCAUGUGUCCCUGAUGUCCACUUAUUUUUGAAUGUUGUACAGUGCAGGUAGUGAAACUUAUUUCUCCAUACCAGUGUAGCAAGGGGCAGUAGACAGAGGCACGGCUUUCAAGGAAAUUACCACAUAUAAUAUCUCUUAUGAAUUAAAAUACUAAUACCUCAAUUCCUUCUUAUGAAAGUCUUUUUAGGCUGCUUAAACAGAAGGCUUUUUGACUGAAAGAGGGAGUCGUACAUCCAACCCAGAGGUGCCAUUUUGAGAGUGCACGAGAUCCAUUGAUACAAAAAACUCUGCACAAUAAGAAUGUGGUCAGAAAUAUUCCCCAAGAGGCUGGUCAUAUUGAUGAAAUAAGACAAUGAUUAUUUAAGGACAAUAGAAGCUUAAAGUAUUCAUCAAAUAAAGAGAAGCAGCUGCCAAUUCCAAGUGAUGGAGGUGAGCCCAACGGGGUAAGGCUGGCUUAUCAGACUCUGCUCUUAAUAGAUGCUUAAUAAUUAUCUCUCAAAGGAGUUUCCAUACUGUGAAGCUGUGACCAAAACGUCUUUUGCAGAUGAGCGCCAGAUGAAGCCCACAUUGGUGUGUUUACUGCUUUGUGCCUGUACACACACUUAGGUGCAUGUUCAUGCACACACACCUCUUGUUCAUAGAAUGUUACACAGAGGUUUUCAAACUGUCCUCUGCAAAGUUGUGUAUUCCAUGACAUCUCUUUAGGGUCACAGUGGGGAUGGAAGGGGUGAGACACCAGAGUCUUCAAUCAGCACAGCUCUGCCAGUAUCUGUUACAUACAGCAAAGUCUGUGUAAGAUUUUGCGACAAUGAAGGUUCUGCCUCUCUCACCGACAUAGACACACAUGCAUGUACCUAGACAUGUACUCAUUUGGAAACCACUGAUCUAGAUGAACUAUGUAAUUUUACAGGCAAACCCCUGGAGCCUCAGAGAGCUGGAAUGGCCGUGUGACCUUCCUAGUUAGUUAGGGGGUGAGGUAGGAAAGUGGAGAGGGCUGUCAUUUGGAAUCCUGAGGCUCUUGGUCCAAAACCUGCCUCUACUGGCUUAUAAAAUUGUUAACAUGGGCCAGUUAUUUAACUUGCUGAGUCCACUUUCUUGUUUAUAAAAUGGAAUAAUUACAUUUUUAUAUAGGCCAGUUUUAGAAGGAAAUGGAGGAGUGUGUAUGUAUGUAUGUGUGUAUAUGUAAACAGGUAAUUUCUGUAUCUGAAAAAAAUGGUUGGAUUAUUUUCGUUGUUUCCCUAUUUCUGGAUCUCAGGGUCAGAACCGGAGCCAUGCUUCCUGAAUCCCAUUUAAUACCCUUUUGACUACAGAAUGGCUACUUACCCUGCUGGUAUCAGAAUUUUCUUCCAUCCAUGGUCCUUGAUUAUGGCAGUAGAUACAUGGCCCCAAAUCCCAUAUCUCAUCCCUUGGUUCCAGUCUGAUGAAUAUAAAUCCUGAAACUCCUUAAGUUAUGAUGCUUGAGUUUCCAUAAUGACUGCUCCAUAACACAGCGAAUCUUGACACCUGAUAAGAAUAAGACAUUAAUGUCUCAGACUGUCCAUCUUCCUAAUGCUUGGCAGCACAAAUGCCCCUAAGUCACAGUACUCUCUUUUCCAAUGACUGAUAAAGUAUCCUCUAUUACACAUUUUCCCACAUUUAGCUUCUGUUCCAACCUCAAUUCCUUUCAUUUCUGGUCAUUGUCCCACCUUUGUUCCUUUUAUAACUGUUGUGUUUGUGUGUAUUGUACAUAUACAUAUUGUUUACAUAUAUAUAUGUGUACACAUACACACACAUAUGCAAAUGAUGGGGAAAAUGGCAAGACACUUUAUUAAAAUGUGUGUAGUUCUUUUGCUACUGAUGUUGAAGGGCAGAAACAUAAACUAUUACCAAUAAAAAUUUUGAACCCACUCAGAAUAAAGUUAAAAAGCUGAAGACUGAUUACAUGGUAUUAAAAAUGAAAGCAGAGGGGGAGAGAGAGGCAGCCCAUUUAGGAGAGAAUGGAGGUCAUGGGAGGUUAUCAGUGAACUCCAUGCAGUACUGCUGGGUACAGAGAAGACUUCAGUGCUGUAAAAUUGGGAAGCAAAUUUGACAAAUUUAUGUCAAAAGUGUUGUCAGGUAGGGGUUCUGGUGGGAUAAGGGGGAUACAGGAGUGGCAAGGAGCAUUUUAAAUUAGAAUUAUGAGUAUAUUUAGUAACCAGUAACUAGGAGAAACCCACUCUCAGAUAAAGUCUGUUAUGAUUUGUUGUACUCUAUAGGUAAUAUGUUGACAUUUGAUCCAUAUUAUUUCUUCCUGGGAUAGUCUGCAUGUUCUUUCUCCUACAUCCAGUCUGUUAGGUCUACUUUCCCCUGUCUCCUGGGCUCUACUACUUUUGGAACACAACUAGGUGGAAGGAUGGAUUCCCACUCCUCUUCCACCUCCCCUUCUCAACUCUCCACACCUGCCUCCCACCCCGAGUAUGUUCCACAUCCCCUAUUCUUUCUUGCAUUGUCAAAUUGUUCAGUAGCACCUUUACAUGCUGAAAGUAUUUAAGAUUAGAUUAUGCUUUGUACAUAAUUUUAAAGUGUGCUAUCCUUUCACCUGAACCAGUAUGGAAAUAAAAGCCUCUCUCAAACCCUGUGAAUGAAAUAUUAAUACCCUAUAGGUUAUGCCCUGAGGUGGGCUCCCAUGCCCCCCUCACAUCCCCUUCCCCAGCUCUUAGACAGGAAUAAGUAGUGUGGUACAGAGGUUGGAAACAAAAGCACCAAGAUUAGAAAUACCUGUUUUCAAUCUUUGAGUGAAUUACUUAACUUUUUAAUCCUCAGCUUUCUCAUUUGUAAUUGAAGAUAUUAAUAUCCUCAUAAAGUUUUUAUGCUGAAUAAAUAAGCAAAUACUAUGUAAAAUGUGUAGCAUAGUAAUUUGCACAUGGCAUCACUUUAAAACAAGUGAAGAGAAAACAGUAAUCCGUUGUACUUCUUCCCACCAGGUAUAAAGUCUGUGGAGCAAAGACUAUGUCUUAAUAUCUAUGCAGAACAUAGUAGGCACUUAAUUAAUUUGCAAGUAAUAAGUGCAAGAAUGCAUCCAUUUGUGAACAAAUCAUAAAACUAGAGCUCAGAAGAUUAAAUAACUUGCCCAGAGUCAUUGUUAAAAGAGCUGGAAUUGAGGCCAUAUGUAUUUCAUUAUAUGCUGCUAGUCAGUCUUCUGUAACAUAAAUGCUUUCUUUAUAUUCUUUACUUUGUGGAGGGUUAGCCCUUGCUUUUUCAAACUUGAUUCCUAGAGCUUUACAGGCUUGGUGAUGAAGAAAGCCAUAACUCCUCGGGACUUGAUGUUAAAGUGUUUUGGCUCCAAUACCUGCAUGAAUUUAUCUGUUUGGUAAAGGUGUGAGCUUAUACGACAACAGCCACCAGCAGUGAGAAUUAAUCUCCUGAGUCUUAAUUAAAACAGUCUUUGGAGAAUACAACUGCCUCAGGAAGUACCAGAAAUCUCAUUUGAAAGCUUCCUGAUUGUGAUAUUUCCAAUGUCAUAUUGCAGAUUCAAGAAACUUGGGUGAUUUUGGAAUAAGUUUAGGAUAAGAACAGCCUCACUUGAAGUGCUUAUCUUAACCACCAAACCAUCUGUUCCUCUCCCAUCAUGGUUCUAAACAGUACAUAAGAACAAGCACUCCUCUCCCUGUCCCAUUUUGCAUCUGAACAUGAUCUAUUUCCAAAGUAGCUUAUUUUUCUCCCUUCCCCCUCAUGAAAAGCAGAAAGUAGCUGUGAACAUUUCAGCAGAACUGGAAGAAAUCUUCACCUCUUUCUAAUAUCUCCUUCCCUACCCACCCUCCUAAAUCUCAUUUUAAACUCAUAGUUAUUUCAGUGUGGUUGCUUUUUUUUCUCUUUUACUAUUCACAUCUAAUUCAUUACUAUGCCUACUGUUUUUUCUUUCUUUCUUUUUUUUUUUUUUUUGUCUUUUUGCCAUUUCUUGAGCUGCUCCCGCAGCAUAUGGAGGUUCCCAAGCUAGGGGUCAAAUCGGAACUGUAGCCGCUGGCCUAUGCCAGAGCCACAGCAACGACAGAUCCGAGCUGCGUCUGUGGCCUACACCACAGCUCAUGACAAUGCCAGAUCCUUAACCCACUGAGCUAGGCCAGGGAUUGAACCCUCAACCUCAUGGUUCCUAGUCGGAUUCGCCAACCACUGAGCCAUGACAGGAACUCCCGCCUACUGUUUUUUCUAAACAAAAAUAUCUCUUUCUUCUUCUUCAUCUCAUGUAUUAGAUUAUUAUAGAUAUCUCUUCUUUCUGUUUCCCUGAUUCUAGAUUUUCUCAUCCUCCUAUAAUCUCCAACAAGAUAGAAGAGUAAUUUGUUUUAGAUAAUAAAGCAGGGCUAUGAGAGAAGAAAAAAAAUAAUUUGAUCCUAUGUUCUAGUAUAAGAUGUACAGUGCCCCAAACAAGGGCAGUGAAUGUCACUUUUCUUCUUUGUCCUGAUCAGAGCAUACCUAGAGUAGCAAUUCAAUUCUGGGCACAUUUAAAGGACAGCAAUAAACUGAAGAAGAUCCAUUACAGAGUGAUCCAGAUGGUUAAGGGCCUGGAGGGCAUGGGAGGUAAGGGACAGAUUAAAAAUCCUGGAAGAGGUUAUUUGAAAAUAAAGAAGCUAAAGGAAGACAUGACAAACUAAGAUUUAAAGGAAUGUUAAGUAGUAGGUGGAUUAAGGUUUUUUGUUUGGUUGUUUUUUUGUUUGUUUUUUUUGUUUUUCGUCACUUGCAAGAAUAAAAUUUGAACCACUGACUGGAGACUAAAGUUAGUUGGAUUUCAGAUCCAUCUUAGGAAGAAUUUUUUAAUGUUUGAUCUCUGUAAAAAGGGGUGAGCACCUUUGUGCAGUAGUGACUUUCCUGUAUAAGAAGCUAGUGCUAGUACUUAUUCCAGAUUUUGUAGGAUCAAUUCAGGUAUAGAAAAAGGAAAUAGACCACAUGACCUCUUGGAAUAUCUGCAGUGCUAAAUGGCUAUGAUUCUUCAGUAUUUGAGCCUUAUUAUCCACCAUUUUCUUUUUUUACAUUUUUUUUUGUUUGUCUUUUAAAACAGCUUUAUUGAAGUGUAAUUUACAUAUAAAAAUCACUUAAUUUAAAUGGACAUUUUAAGACUUUUUUAGGCCAGGUUUAGGUUGACAACAAAAUUUAGAGAACUAGAGAUUUUCCAUGUGUCCCCUGUCCCCACGCAUGCAUGGUCUCUGCCAUUAUCAACAUUCCCUACUAGGGUGGUACAUUUGUUACAGCUGAUGGAGAGCUACAUUGACACAUAAUCACCUGAAGUCCUCUAUUCUCUGCCUAUCCAUUCUCCUCUGCCAACCCUGGCAACCACUGAUCUUUUUCCUGUCUCCAUAGUUUUUUCUUUGCCAGAAAGCAAUAUGGUUGGAAUCAUACAGUAUGUAACCUUUUCAGAUUGGCUUCUUUCACUUAGUAAUAAUCAUUUAAGGUUCUUCCAUGUCUUUUCAUGGCUUGAUAGUUCAUUUCCUUUUAAUGCUGAAUGGUGUUCCAUUAUCUCAAUGUACCCCAGUUAAUUUAUCCCCUCACUGACUAAAGGACAUCUUGGUUGCUAUUUAUCACUUUCUUAGUGAACCCUUCUUGCUUUAAUUCACUCAGUUCUCCUCACCUACCAUGGUUUAUUCUGAUCCCAUACCACUGCACAUACUUACCCACUCCUGAAAUUUAUUCCCAUCAACUCCCCCAAAGUCAGUUCAAAGAGUCAUCUAAUUACAUUCACUUCUCUGGUUGCUUUGCAGAUGAAUUAAUUAGGAUUUAAGCUCAGUGUCUGUAAAUACCAGGAAAAAAGAAAAACAAACAGACAAACAAAAAACAGUGGUAGAAUGUAAUAGAAGGUCAUUUCUUCCUUAGGUAACAGCCCAGAAGUAGGCAGUCUUGACAGUGGUUUUGCUUAUGUUUGAUAAGUGGCUUCCAUCUCUCUGGCCCAGGCAGUGUUUCCCCUUCUCACCUUCUUGCUGCAGCAGGCUCUUGGAAAGGUGCCAAGGCAGUGCAUGCUCAAUAAUUUAAACUGCAAAUGUGGAAACGGAAUAUAUCACCCUCGUUCACAUUGCAUUAACCAGAAUUUUACCUCAUGGUUAUACUGACUGUAAGGUAGACUAGGGAAUAGAGUCUUCCUUGAGUGGCCAGGGACCAGCUAAAACUCGAUCAUAGAUGAAAAGGGGAAUGGAUGUCAGAGAAUAUCCCUCUAUUGACCAGGGCUACCCCUCAGAAUUGCUUAUUUGGGGGUUCGUUGCCUUAUUUUUUUUCUCUUUUGUGACAGUAAAUUUUGCUUUUCAGAAAACAAUUUUAUUUUGAAUCAUAAUUUGCUAUUAAUUCCAUUAAAAGCUUAGGGAUAAGUUCUUAUGUUUAAAAUUUUGAACCCUUGAUCUAUCACUGAUUUUAGUAUUGUCUUUUUUCAGUGUGAACUUUCUGUGCUUUACAGUUAAUGUACCAUGAUUUUUCUAAAGAGAGAAUUGGUAAUAGACAGUGAACCUUCAGAGUCUUUGAAUAUAGUUUAAAAACAUAUUGCAGCACUAUUCACAAUAGCCAAGACAUCAAAACAACCCAAAUGUGCAUUAACAGCUGAUUGGAUUAGGAAGAUAUGGUAUAUAUACACAAUGGAAUACUACUCAGCUAUUAAAAGAAUGAAAUAAUGCCAUUUGCAGCAACAUGGAUGCAACUAGAGACUCUCAAAAUGAGUGAAGUAAGUCAGAAAGAGAAAGACAAAUACCAUAGGAUAUCACUUAUAUCUGGAAACUAAUAUAUGGCACAAAUGAACCUUUCCACAGAAAAGAAAAUCAUGGACUUAGAGAAUAGACUUGUGGUUGCCAAGGGGAAGGGGAGGGAGUGGGAUGUAUGGGAAGCUUGGGAUUAACAGAUACAGACUAUUGCCUUUGGAAUGGAUUAGCAAUGAGAUCCUGCUGUGUAGCACUGGGAACUAUGUCUAGUCACUUAUGAUGGAGCAUGAUAAUGUGAGAAAAAAGAAUAUAUACAUAUAUGUGUAACUGGGUCACCCUGCUGUACAGUAGAAAAUUGACAGAACACUAUAAACCAGCUAUAAUGGAAAAAAAUAAAAAUCAUAUUAAGAUGGAAAAAAAAAUAAAAA